UACGGAGGAUCCGAGCGUUAUCCGGAUUUAUUGGGUUUAAAGGGUGCGUAGGUGGAUUGGUAAGUCAGUGGUGAAAGUUUGCAGCUUAACUGUAAAAUUGCCGUUGAAACUGCCGGUCUUGAGUGCAAAUGAGGUAGGCGGAAUGCGUCGUGUAGCGGUGAAAUGCAUAGAUAUUACACAGAACACCGAUUGCGAAGGCAGCUUACUAAUCCAUCAUUGACGCUGAGGCACGAAAGCGUGGGGAUCAAACAGGAUUAGAUA
This 261-nucleotide ribosomal RNA is filed under the name uncultured prokaryote. Its description in RNAcentral is "partial 16S ribosomal RNA". It matches the Rfam family "Bacterial small subunit ribosomal RNA", at positions 524 to 784 of the family's 1533-position model. The record is from RNAcentral.